RNAcentral lists this ribosomal RNA (508 nucleotides) under uncultured bacterium. RNAcentral describes it as "partial 16S ribosomal RNA". It matches the Rfam family "Bacterial small subunit ribosomal RNA", at positions 30 to 523 of the family's 1533-position model. The record is from RNAcentral.
AUUGAACGCUGGCGGCAUGCCUUACACAUGCAAGUCGAACGGCAGCGGGGGAGAAGCUUGCUUUUCCUGCCGGCGAGUGGCGAACGGGUGAGUAAUACAUCGGAACGUGCCCUGUAGUGGGGGAUAACUAGUCGAAAGAUUAGCUAAUACCGCAUACGACCUGAGGGUGAGAGUGGGGGACCGCAAGGCCUCAUUCUAUAGGAGACGCCGAUGACUGAUUAGCUAGUUGGUGGGGUAAAGGCCUACCAAGGCGACGAUCAGUAGCUGGUCUGAGAGGACGAUCAGCCACACUGGGACUGAGACACGGCCCAGACUCCUACGGGAGGCAGCAGUGGGGAAUUUUGGACAAUGGGCGAAAGCCUGAUCCAGCAAUGCCGCGUGUGUGAAGAAGGCCUUCGGGUUGUAAAGCACUUUUGUCCGGAAAGAAAUGGCUCUGGUUAAUACCUGGGGUCGAUGACGGUACCGGAAGAAUAAGGACCGGCUAACUACGUGCCAGCCGCCGCGGUAA